UCUCCGUAGGUGAACCUGCGGAGGGAUCAUUACCAGAGAUGGCGGGCCUCCGUGCCCCCGUCCCCAACCCAUUGUUGACCAAAACCUUUUUGCCUCGGGGGCAGAGCGUCCGCCGCCGCCCCCGGAGGACCACCGAACGCUGUCUCUAUACGUCGGAGUAUUGAUUAAAUGAAUGAAAACUUUCAACAACGGAUCUCUUGGUUCUG
Molecule: unclassified non-coding RNA, 206 nt
Filed under: plant metagenome
Description: partial contains small subunit ribosomal RNA, internal transcribed spacer 1, and 5.8S ribosomal RNA
Source: RNAcentral